RNAcentral lists this ribosomal RNA (330 nucleotides) under Triticum aestivum (bread wheat). Its description in RNAcentral is "partial small subunit ribosomal RNA". Lineage: Eukaryota; Viridiplantae; Streptophyta; Magnoliopsida; Poales; Poaceae. The record is from RNAcentral.
AUGACGGCGCAGGCGCUCAUGCCACCGCCGCCGGAGCCGCACACGGCGGGGCGGUGGGCAGGCACGCUGCUGGCCCCCGCCGAUUACGCGCCGCGGGUCUACUACGUGCAGGGCUUCUACGUCGUCUCCUACGGCCUCGGCAUCUACCUCCUCAACCUCCUCAUCGGCUUCCUCUCCCCCAUGGUCGACCCGGAGCUCGAGGCGCUCGACCAGGCCGGCCCCGCGCUCCCCACCCGCGGCAACAACGAGUUAAAGCCCUUCAUUCGCCGCCUCCCCGAGUUCAAGUUCUGGUAUAUCCAUCUCUUCUGCUGCCCCCUUCUUAUUAUUUGA